UACGUAGGGUGCAAGCGUUGUCCGGAAUUAUUGGGCGUAAAGCGCGUGUAGGCGGCUUUGCAAGUCGGGUGUGAAAGCCCUCGGCUCAACCGAGGAAGUGCGCCCGAAACUGCAGAGCUUGAGUACCGGAGAGGAUGGCGGAAUUCCCCAAGUAGAGGUGAAAUUCGUAGAUAUGGGGAGGAACACCGGUGGCGAAGGCGGCCAUCUGGACGGAUACUGACGCUGAGACGCGAAAGCGUGGGUAGCAAACAGG
This 253-nucleotide ribosomal RNA is filed under the name uncultured bacterium. Its description in RNAcentral is "partial 16S ribosomal RNA". It matches the Rfam family "Bacterial small subunit ribosomal RNA", at positions 524 to 776 of the family's 1533-position model. The record is from RNAcentral.